GCAAUGAUGAUCUAAAAUCAUAAUGAUAAAAAUGAUUUGAUAUCCUCUAAGAAGAUCUGAGCAG
Molecule: small nucleolar RNA, 64 nt
Organism: Stegodyphus dumicola
Lineage: Eukaryota; Metazoa; Arthropoda; Arachnida; Araneae; Eresidae
Product: small nucleolar RNA SNORD61
Source: RefSeq, a predicted model, not a curated record